CCUACGGGAGGCAGCAGUGAGGAAUAUUGGUCAAUGGGCGCGAGCCUGAACCAGCCAAGUAGCGUGAAGGAUGACUACCCUACGGGUUGUAAACUUCUUUUAUAAAGGAAUAAAGUGAGGCACGUGUGCCUUUUUGUAUGUACUUUAUGAAUACGGCUCGGCUAAUUCCGUGCCAGCAGCCGCGGUAAUACGGAGGUUCCGAGCGUUAUCCGGAUUUAUUGGGGUAAAAGGGAGCGUAGAUGGGGUGUUAAGUCAGUUGUGAAAGUUUGCGUCUAAACCGUAAAUUGCAAUUGAUACUGGCAGUCUUGAGUACAGGUGGGGUAGGCGGAAUUCGUGGUGUAGCGGUGAAAUGCUUAGAUAUCACGAAGAACACCGAUUGCGAAGGCAGCUUACUAAACUGCCACUGACAUUGAUGCUCGAAAGUGUGGGUAUCAAACAGGAUUAGAUACCCGGGUAGUC
This 459-nucleotide ribosomal RNA is filed under the name uncultured bacterium. RNAcentral describes it as "partial 16S ribosomal RNA". It matches the Rfam family "Bacterial small subunit ribosomal RNA", at positions 338 to 795 of the family's 1533-position model. The record is from RNAcentral.